This 400-nucleotide ribosomal RNA is filed under the name uncultured bacterium. RNAcentral's name for it is "bacterial SSU rRNA". It matches the Rfam family "Bacterial small subunit ribosomal RNA", at positions 361 to 776 of the family's 1533-position model. The record is from RNAcentral.
AUAUUGCACAAUGGAGGGAACUCUGAUGCAGCGACGCCGCGUGAGUGAAGAAGGUCUUCGGAUCGUAAAACUCUGUCCUUGGUGACGAAAAAAAUGACGGUAGCCAAGGAGGAAGCCCCGGCUAACUACGUGCCAGCAGCCGCGGUAAUACGUAGGGGGCGAGCGUUGUCCGGAUUUACUGGGCGUAAAGGGUGAGUAGGCGGUUAUAUAUGUCAGGUGUAAAAAGCUAUGGCUUAACCAUAGUAAGCACUUGAAACUGUAUGACUUGAGUGCAGGAGAGGUAAGCGGAAUUCCUAGUGUAGCGGUGAAAUGCGUAGAUAUUAGGAGGAACACCGGUGGCGAAGGCGGCUUACUGGACUGUAACUGACGCUGAGUCACGAAAGCGUGGGUAGCAAACAGG